This is a long non-coding RNA of Gopherus evgoodei (Goodes thornscrub tortoise), 1070 nucleotides long. RefSeq lists it as uncharacterized. Lineage: Eukaryota; Metazoa; Chordata; Testudines; Testudinidae. The transcript is spliced from 2 exons. The record is from RefSeq and is a predicted model, not a curated record.
CCUACAAGAACAGACCAAUUGUCAAUUUGGUGUCAUGACUGAAAACUAGUCCUGGCGAUGACAGGGACACAGCAAGGCCAGCACAACAGACAACUGGUCGAAAUAAUGACACCUUCCAGCCAACAGCCGCAAAGCACGUUAAUGCAUUAAGCUUCCCAAACGAGCACUGGGAGAACCAGGAAGGGUUAUCACCAAAUGAAGAAACUGAGCCCUGGUCUACACUACGAGUUUAGGUCGAAUUUAGCAGCAACAGGCAAAGUGACUUGGUCACAAGGAAUCUGACUGUUCUGGGAAUAGAACCAACAUCUCCUGACUGGUGUGCUAAGCCAAGAAUAGCCGUCUCUGGAUCUGUAACCCUGAACAGAAGGCAAUGAUGGGAAUGCUUCUUUCAUGUGCUUUGGAUCCCACACUGAGCUGAGCACCAGCUACAGAAUGAUUAUUAUUACAGUAAUGCCUGAAGGCCUCCUCAUGCUGGGCACUCUAGAGACCCAGUAAGAGACAAUCCCCAUCCAUGAGAAGCUCACAAUCUAAACAGACAAGACAGGGAAAGGGUGGGAGAUUACAGUGUGAUUCACAAUGUGUACUAGAAAGAGAGCAAUAUGUAGUAAGGGGUGUGUGCUGGAGCCUGAUAGUCAUAUACAACGGCAGAGGCAGCCCUUAAUGCUCAGCACAGGAAUGUUGUGAAAUAUCACGUUCUAAAUGCCAUAUUGACAGUCCCUAAUAACAAUGCCCCCGCCGAAGGAAUUCUUUUAGUGACCUGCCAUGGCUUGCAGUGAUCAGUGGAGAACCUGUCGUCUGCCAAAUAGUAAAACAGAAGGAGAUUUGCUGAGAAGGAGAUUGGCUAUGUCGAAUGGUAGAAGGACGCUCUCACAGGACUGACAGGAUGAAUUCACUGCUGGUUAUUAAACCAGGAUGCAUUUAGCUACUGACGCAUGUUGUACUUUGCAUGUGUAACAGAAAUCAACUCUUAUUUAUUUUUGUGAGCUAAGGGCCUGUCAAAACUUGCUGAGAAACAAACUAACUGAGAAAAAUAUUCUAGGCUAAGUACAAUAAAACCUGUGCCACCUUUA